RNAcentral lists this ribosomal RNA (460 nucleotides) under uncultured bacterium. RNAcentral describes it as "partial 16S ribosomal RNA". It matches the Rfam family "Bacterial small subunit ribosomal RNA", at positions 338 to 795 of the family's 1533-position model. The record is from RNAcentral.
UCUACGGGAGGCAGCAGUGAGGAAUAUUGGUCAAUGGCCGAAAGGCUGAACCAGCCAAGUCGCGUGAAGGAAGACUGACCUAUGGUUUGUAAACUUCUUUUAUAAGGGAAUAAAACGAGGCACGUGUGCAUUUUUGCAUGUACUUUAUGCAUAAGCAUCGGCUAACUCCGUGCCAGCAGCCGCGGUAAUACGGAGGAUCCGAGCGUUAUCCGGAUUUAUUGGGUUUAAAGGGAGCGUAGGGGGUUUGUUAAGUCAGUGGUGAAAGUUUGAGGCUCAACCGUAAAAUUGCAAUUUAUACUGGCAGUCGGAAGUAGAGUGGAGGUUGGCGGAAGGCGUAGUGGAGCGGGUAAAUGCGUAGAUAUCACGAAGAACCCCGAUUGCGAAGGCAGAUGACUAAACAGUGACUGAUAUUGAUGAUUGAAAGUGUGGGGAGCAAACAGGAUUAGAGACCCGGGUAGUC